GGGCAAAAAGAGUUUAGGCUUCUAACCAAAACCCGAGGGGAGACCUUCUUUGCUCU
Molecule: transfer RNA, 56 nt
Filed under: Terebratalia transversa
Lineage: Eukaryota; Metazoa; Brachiopoda; Rhynchonellata; Terebratulida; Laqueidae
Description: tRNA-Ser
Source: RNAcentral